CGGAGGCAUAUUUUAAGUUAAAGAAUGUAAGCUUUGGGGGCUUAGGGUCUCGUGAGGAGUGUUCCGA
This 67-nucleotide transfer RNA is filed under the name Azygia robusta. Its description in RNAcentral is "tRNA-Pro". Lineage: Eukaryota; Metazoa; Platyhelminthes; Trematoda; Azygiida; Azygiidae. The record is from RNAcentral.